CGCGUGGUGUUCGGCAAUAGUGACCGUAUAGCGACGCGACAUAGAGAGGC
This is a non-coding RNA of Pragia fontium, 50 nucleotides long. Lineage: Bacteria; Pseudomonadati; Pseudomonadota; Gammaproteobacteria; Enterobacterales; Budviciaceae. The record is from Rfam.